AAAUAAAUUUCCAACGUCUAACACACAUCGUUUACGACAUGGACUACGAGGGUAUCUAAUCCUCUUCGCUACCCAUGCUUUCGUUCCUCAGUGUCAGUAAUGAUCCAGAAAGCUGCCUUCGCAAUUGGUAUUCUUUCUAAUAUCUACGAAUUUCACCUCUACACUAGAAAUUCUGCUUUCCUCUAUCAUACUCUAGCUGAAAAGUUUUGAUGGCAGUUCCAGAGUUAAGCUCUGGGAUUUCACCACCAACUUUUUCAACCACCUACGAACUCUUUAAGCCCAGUAAUUCCGAACUACGCUAGGUCCCUUCGUAUUACCGCGGCUGCUGGCACGAAGUUAGCCGGACCUUCUUAUUCGGGUACAGUCAUUUUCUUCCCCGACGAAAGAGCUUUACAACCCAAAGGCCUUCUUCACUCACGCGGCAUCGCUGCAUCAGAGUUUCCUCCAUUGUGCAAGAUUCCCCACUGCUGCCUCCCGUAGGAGUUUGGGCCGUGUCUCAGUCCCAAUGUGGCUGAUCAUCCUCUCAAAUCAGCUAUUGAUCAUAGUCUUGGUGGGCCAUUACCCUACCAACAAACUAAUCAAGGGGGGGCUCAUCCAAUGGGGCAUAAAGCUUUCUCCGUAAAGACUUAUCCGGUAUUAGGCACAAGUUUCCUCGGGUUAUUCCAGGCCAAAGGGUAGAUACCCACAUGUUACUCACCCGUCGGCCACUAAGUAUGGCUACUUCGUUGGACUGGCAUGUGUUGGGCGUGCCGCCAGCGUACGUUCGGAGCCAGGAUCAAACUCU
Molecule: ribosomal RNA, 784 nt
Filed under: uncultured bacterium
Lineage: Bacteria
Description: partial 16S ribosomal RNA
Source: RNAcentral